GAUGAAGAACGCAGCGAAAUGCGAUAAGUAAUGUGAAUUGCAGAAUUCAGUGAAUCAUCGAGUCUUUGAACGCACAUUGCGCCCCCUGGUAUUCCGGGGGGCAUGCCUGUCCGAGCGUCAUUGCUGCCCUCAAGCACGGCUUGUGUGUUGGGCCCCCGUCCCCGGUUUCCCCCGGGGACGGGCCCGAAAGGCAGCGGCGGUACCGCGUCCGGUCCUCGAGCGUAUGGGGCUUUGUCACCCGCUCUGUAGGCCCGGCCGGCGCCAGCCGACACCCAACUUUAUUUCUAAGGUUGACCUCGGAUCAGGUAGGGAUACCCGCUGAACUUAAGCAUAUCAAUAAGCGGAGGA
RNAcentral lists this unclassified non-coding RNA (348 nucleotides) under soil metagenome. RNAcentral's name for it is "partial contains 5.8S ribosomal RNA, internal transcribed spacer 2, and large subunit ribosomal RNA". The stretch from base 1 to 120 matches the Rfam family "5.8S ribosomal RNA", at positions 35 to 154 of the family's 154-position model. The record is from RNAcentral.